AGUGAACGCUGGCGGUAGGCCUAACACAUGCAAGUCGAACGGCAGCACAGUAAGAGCUUGCUCUUACGGGUGGCGAGUGGCGGACGGGUGAGGAAUACAUCGGAAUCUACUUUUUCGUGGGGGAUAACGUAGGGAAACUUACGCUAAUACCGCAUACGACCUACGGGUGAAAGCAGGGGAUCUUCGGACCUUGCGCGAUUGAAUGAGCCGAUGUCGGAUUAGCUAGUUGGCGGGGUAAAGGCCCACCAAGGCGACGAUCCGUAGCUGGUCUGAGAGGAUGAUCAGCCACACUGGAACUGAGACACGGUCCAGACUCCUACGGGAGGCAGCAGUGGGGAAUAUUGGACAAUGGGCGCAAGCCUGAUCCAGCCAUACCGCGUGGGUGAAGAAGGCCUUCGGGUUGUAAAGCCCUUUUGUUGGGAAGGAGAAGCAGCAGGUUAAUACCCCGCUGUUCUGACGGUACCCAAAGAAUAAGCACCGGCUAACUUCGUG
Molecule: ribosomal RNA, 492 nt
Filed under: uncultured bacterium
Lineage: Bacteria
Description: partial 16S ribosomal RNA
Rfam family: Bacterial small subunit ribosomal RNA
Source: RNAcentral